This 459-nucleotide ribosomal RNA is filed under the name uncultured bacterium. RNAcentral's name for it is "partial 16S ribosomal RNA". It matches the Rfam family "Bacterial small subunit ribosomal RNA", at positions 338 to 795 of the family's 1533-position model. The record is from RNAcentral.
CCUACGGGCGGCAGCAGUGAGGAAUAUUGGUCAAUGGCCGCGAGGCUGAACCAGCCAAGUCGCGUGAGGGAUGACGGUCCUAUGGGUUGUAAACCUCUUUUGUCAGGGAGCAAAGGGCGCCACGUGUGGCGCUUUGCGAGUACCUGAAGAAAAAGCAUCGGCUAACUCCGUGCCAGCAGCCGCGGUAAUACGGAGGAUGCGAGCGUUAUCCGGAUUUAUUGGGUUUAAAGGGUGCGCAGGCGGAAGGGCAAGUCAGCGGUAAAAUUUCGGGGCUCAACCCCGUCGUGCCGUUGAAACUGGCGUUCUUGAGUGAGCGAGAAGUAUGCGGAAUGCGUGGUGUAGCGGUGAAAUGCAUAGAUAUCACGCAGAACUCCGAUUGCGAAGGCAGCAUACCGGCGCUCAACUGACGCUCAUGCACGAAAGCGUGGGUAUCGAACAGGAUUAGAUACCCUAGUAGUC